Long non-coding RNA from Daucus carota subsp. sativus, 1931 nucleotides. RefSeq lists it as uncharacterized. The record is from RefSeq and is a predicted model, not a curated record. Lineage: Eukaryota; Viridiplantae; Streptophyta; Magnoliopsida; Apiales; Apiaceae. The transcript is spliced from 3 exons.
UAAAUUAAUUAUCGACGAGUUGACCAAGUAGAUGCUAACAAAAAUUGUAUUUUUAGUGCAAACGUACCCAUCAUUCACUGGUUUCUGCUGAACCCUAUACGAAGCAAGAAUCUGCAUUUUUUCUUUGUAAUUUAACUUCAACGCGGUGGAGUUGUUGGGGUAUCAAAUUAUAAUUUUCAUCCAUAACAAAUAUUUGUUUUCCUAUACAUGAGCUAUACUGAUAAAGAUGGCUGAUGUAUUUGUAGCUGAUGUUGCUGGUGGCCUGGUUUUCAAGCUUGUUUAACUUGCAGCUGAAGAAGUGAUUCAGGCUUGGAAUAUUCAGGAAGAUUUGGUAAUGCUGCGAGAAAGGUUGGAAGACAUUGAUGCUCUCUUGUCCGAUGCUGAUAGCAAAAGACUAAACAUGUUUGCUGUCCAGAGCUGGUUCAACAAACUGGCGGACGUUGCUCAUAUAGCUGAUGCUUUUAUGGAUCAACUUGCUUAUGAAGUCACUCGAAGAAAGGUUGAAAAUCGUAGUAAGGUGAGGGACUUCUUUUCUACUAAGAAGGGCGUACUUUAUCGUUUCAAAGUUGCCAAUAAGAUCAAGUCCAUCAAUUCUUCUUUCGACAAAAUUUUCGAAUGGGCUGGAAAACUCGGGCUUCAACCUGUGGCACAAUUAACUACUACUGUGCAGCCCAGGGAAAUGCGCAAUACUCCCCCCUUUGAAGACGAGUCACUCAUAGUUGGAAGAAAUGAUGAUAUAUCAUUUUUAGUCGAUGCAGUGUGCACAAAUCAUGCGGAGGAUUUACCAGUCAUUGCUGUAAUGGGGAUGGGAGGUCAAGGCAAAACAACUCUUGCUCGUAUGGUUUACAAUAGAGAUGUUGUAACCGAUAUCUAGAGCGGUUAUCUAUCAAGUUUUGUGGAAAUUUGGAGAGUUUGCCAGAGUUCCAUGACAACUUUCAGUACCUGGACAUAUAUGAAUGUCCUAAAAUACAAGAAAGAUACAGGAAGGGAAGUGGGGCGGAAUGGUCCAAAAUCCAACACAUCAAACAAAUACGCGGGCUUGACUGAUGAGAGUAACAUCAUACAGUGAUAUGGAGUUUUGAAGGAGUGAAAUCUCUUCCCAUUUCACUAGCAAAGCUUUCAUUUCUGGAGAGGUUAACUAUUGAGUUUUGUGAAAAUUUGGAGAGCUUACCAAAGUUCCAUGACUACUUUCAUUUCCUGUUGAUAUGUGGAUGUCCUGUAAUAGAAGAAAGAUACAGGAAGGGAAGUGAGCCGGAAUGGUCUAAAGUCCAACACAUCAGACAAGUACAUGGACUUGGUUGAUGAGAGUAAUGGCGUACAGUCAUGUUAAGGAAAUUUGAAUUAUGAGAUUAUGUCAAGUGUAGACAGAGAAGAAACUAAUAAUAAAGGUCCAGAAGCCAACUUGAACAUCAAACUCCUCAUAGCAGAACCACCAUUGCUCCCAUCAGUACUCGAAUUAUCAUCUGAAGCCACACCGAACUGAGUCACUCCGAUCAAGCCAGCUCCUUCACCUGCUUGGUCACAUCCAUUAGCUCUCGUUCCUCGCAAGGCUCGACAUUCGACAACUCUGAGCUGUGAACCAGUGAGCAAGACCAUGAUCACAAAGACUAGAGAGAAGCUCUUCAUUAAUAUUGUGGACAAACUCUUCAUUGCCAUCGUAAAUUCUGCAGUGUAGAUCUUAAUAAUAUAGUAGAUCUUAGUUUGUGAAGUGUAGAUGAGGAAUCAAGGAAUGAAGAUAUUGGUAUUAUAUAGGGAGCAAGAUGCAAGCAGUUAUGUGAUGUGAAAGCUUAUAUCCGCAGGUGUGUGAAUUAAAAGCAAGAACCAGACAAUUUGGAAACUCCAUGUAAAUCUUUUACUUUGAAAAUCCUGUGUCUCCAGUCUUGAUUCCAUGCUGUUUGAUAUUGACAUUUUGCAAAUAUAUUACUUCUCGU